This is a long non-coding RNA of Neofelis nebulosa (Clouded leopard), 1316 nucleotides long. RefSeq lists it as uncharacterized. The record is from RefSeq and is a predicted model, not a curated record. The transcript has 4 exons. Lineage: Eukaryota; Metazoa; Chordata; Mammalia; Carnivora; Felidae.
UAACCCAGAGGUCCUCUUUCUUCAACAUGACAGUCUCAGAAGAUGCCCUCUUGGGCAGGAGCCACAGUUCUGGCCCUUCAGCCAGAUGCCUGGAUGCCAGGGUAGGACAGAAGGCUCCCCGCUGGGGCAGAUGCCAACAGGAGGGAAGGCAAGGCUGAACUACUUGUCCCCUGGUUAGAGGACAGAAACUGAGCUCAGGGCGCUUGGCAACCAGUGGUCCUGGCCCAACGCCUGUCCUCUGGGGCCCUGCUCCACAGGGGAGUCCCCUCCAUGGGAAUGGACCAUGGGGCCGCAUCACCUGGAUGAUGCCAUGGGAGCCAGGUACUGCCAGGAUGUACAACUUCCAGCACAAUAGCAGCUACCGUUCGCUGGAUCCUGCAAGUUCCAAGCAAGAGGACAAAGGCAUGCUGAGUGCUGCCUGGAAGAGCCCCAGCACCUCUCAGACUGGUCCCUCCCUCACUGCUCUCCAUCUGGGGGAUGGUACCUCCAUCUACCCCAAGGCUCAAGCCAGAAACCGUGAUUCCUCCUCUCUCAGCCCCCACAUACCAGCAGUCCUGAAAGGCCUAGACAUUCCACCUCUUUAAGUGUCUCUGGACGUCUUCCCAGGCCAAUGAACAGCUCCAGAAAGGCUAAUACCGUGAGAAAUGACCUUUCAGACCACCUGCUCAGUACCAAUGAGCCCAGGCCUGACCUGAUCUCUGGCACAGAAACACGUGUGUGCAGUGAUGACCAUCCCUCGCUAAGCACCCACUCCGCACCAGACGUGAAAGACAAUGUUUAAAUGCUGCUGGGAAGGAGGAAGCAGACAGGGAGAGCGUGCCGACCCAGGAUCCAGUGGACAGCGAUGGGCGCAGUCCCGCAGGAGGGGAGGGUCCGGGGACCAGCGGGGUCAGCAGUUACAGAGUAAGAGGGCUUAGCCUUGCAGCGAGCAGGAAGGGAACCACUUUAUUCAGCACCCAGGGGCCCGGCAGGCUCUGCAAGUUUUAUGUAAUUUUUACGCAAGUCACUCAUCAUCUCUGAGCCUCUGUUUUCUCAUCUGCAAAAUGGUGCCAGGGCCCACGGGUCUGUGUGGACAGAAUGUGAUGAGGUCUGUCGAGGGCGUGCACAGACAUGACGGUUGGUGGGUCCUGCGUGGGAGGCAGCUGCUGCUCUCACUUGAAGUCUUAAAACAAUGAUGUGGGGGCACCUGUGUGGUUCAGUCAGUCAGGCGUCUGACUCUUGGUUUUGGCUCAGGUCAUGAUCUCACAGGUUCAUGACUCGAGCCUCAUGUUGAGCUCUACGCUCAGCGCAGCACUUGCUUGGGACUCUCUGUCCCC